Molecule: ribosomal RNA, 451 nt
Filed under: uncultured bacterium
Lineage: Bacteria
Description: bacterial SSU rRNA
Rfam family: Bacterial small subunit ribosomal RNA
Source: RNAcentral
AACAAACGCUGGCGGCGUGCCUAAUACAUGCAAGUCGAUCGGGGAAAGUCUUCGGAUGAGUACUAGAGGCGCACGGGUGAGUAACACGUAGGUAAUCUGCCCUCGAGUGGGGAAUAACUUAUCGAAAGAUGAGCUAAUACCGCAUAAGACCACAAGAUCUGAGGAUCAAGAGGUCAAAGGAGCAAUUCGCUUGAGGAUGAGCCUGCGUCGGAUUAGCUAGUUGGCGGGUAACGGCCCACCAAGGCAAUGAUCCGUAGCUGGUCUGAGAGGAUGAUCAGCCACACUGGAACUGAGACACGGUCCAGACUCCUACGGGAGGCAGCAGUAGGGAAUAAUUGCGCAAUGGGGGAAACCCUGACGCAGCGACGCCGCGUGAGUGAUGAAGGCCUUCGGGUCGGUUAAAACGGCUCCUGUUGCAAGGGAAUAAAAAAAAUAAGAAUAGUACCGUUAG